This 460-nucleotide ribosomal RNA is filed under the name uncultured bacterium. RNAcentral's name for it is "partial 16S ribosomal RNA". It matches the Rfam family "Bacterial small subunit ribosomal RNA", at positions 338 to 795 of the family's 1533-position model. The record is from RNAcentral.
CCUACGGGAGGCAGCAGUGAGGAAUAUUGGUCAAUGGACGAGAGUCUGAACCAGCCAAGUAGCGUGAAGGAUGACUGCCCUAUGGGUUGUAAACUUCUUUUAUAUGGGAAUAAAAUGUUCCACGUGUGGGAUUUUGUAUGUACCAUCUGAAUAAGGAUCGGCUAACUCCGUGCCAGCAGCCGCGGUAAUACGGAGGAUCCGAGCGUUAUCCGGAUUUAUUGGGUUUAAAGGGAGCGUAGGUGGAUUGUUAAGUCAGUUGUGAAAGUUUGCGGCUCAACCGUAAAAUUGCAGUUGAAACUGGCAGUCUUGAGUACAGUAGAGGUGGGCGGAAUUCGUGGUGUAGCGGUGAAAUGCUUAGAUAUCACGAAGAACUCCGAUUGCGAAGGCAGUUCACUGGACUGCAACUGACACUGAGGCUCGAAAGUGUGGGUAUCAAACAGGAUUAGAUACCCCAGUAGUC